RNAcentral lists this unclassified non-coding RNA (195 nucleotides) under uncultured fungus. RNAcentral's name for it is "sequence contains ITS1". The record is from RNAcentral. Lineage: Eukaryota; Fungi.
UUAUACGAUUGCAACUUCCCAGACAACACUGUUUAAAUGGGUCAGGUGGGUCUCUGGCAGGCGCUCUCCAGCCACGAGGACCGGCGGCCACUAGGGCCGGCCCGCCAAAGCAACAAGAUCAGGUAGACACGGGUGGGAGUAGGGACAGUGUCCCAGUACUCUUUAAUGAUCCUUCCGCAGGUUCACCUACGGAAA